UACGUAGGUGGCGAGCGUUGUCCGGAUUUACUGGGCGUAAAGGGAGCGUAGGCGGACUUUUAAGUGAGAUGUGAAAUACCCGGGCUCAACUUGGGUGCUGCAUUUCAAACUGGAAGUCUAGAGUGCAGGAGAGGAGAAUGGAAUUCCUAGUGUAGCGGUGAAAUGCGUAGAGAUUAGGAAGAACACCAGUGGCGAAGGCGAUUCUCUGGACUGUAACUGACGCUGAGGCUCGAAAGCGUGGGGAGCAAACAGGAUUAGAUACCCCGUACGU
RNAcentral lists this ribosomal RNA (271 nucleotides) under uncultured prokaryote. RNAcentral describes it as "partial 16S ribosomal RNA". It matches the Rfam family "Bacterial small subunit ribosomal RNA", at positions 524 to 794 of the family's 1533-position model. The record is from RNAcentral.